AAAAAGCAUUAUAUAUAUUUUUUGAGUCUUAUUGAAUCUUUUUUUUCUUUUUACAGGUUAAUUUCCCUUGGAAAAGUAUUGAUGAUCAAGUGAUGCUAGCAGCAACAGUGUUAAAGGCUUUAACGCUUUUAAAGGCCCUGAUUAGGUUAUUGACAUUGGCCACAUCAGUGUCACAGAGUUUCUUCACAGCCUGUUUGAUCUGGCACUUGUUGGCUUUGGCAUCCACAGUGAACACAAGCAUGUGGUUGUCUUCUGUCUUCAUGGUGGACUCGGCAGUUGGGAGCCUGACGAUGGAUGGCAUGAUGGUCAAGCUUGUUUCUCCUGGGGGUGCUCUUCUGAAGACAUUUGAGCUGCCUCUGGAAGCACAGUGUCUUGGGUCCCAGAAGGAAACUCCAAGGAACAGAGGAGCUCAGAGAAGACUAGAACUCUGUAUUCCGUACCCGUAAACAAUUUGUAUAAGCAAAAUAAAACUUUUUAACUUUCCUCAUCCCAAUCUGCAUUAUAUUUCCCUCUGGCCAUUUUGCCACAUGGCCUAGGAGUUGGGGCUGAGUAAAUGCCAGCUCAGGAAUGUGUCCUAGACUUCCCAUGAGGGGAGGGCAGUAAAGACAUGAUGCCAGUGCUGUUGGUUUCCUUCCCUCCUGGGAUAGAGCUUGAGGGAAGAGACAAGCAAGGUGGAAGAAAUAUUGCCAUAAGCAGCGUGAGCAUUUGGUCAUAGAGGGAAGAGCCAAGGGACAGUCACAGACCCCAAAGGACACCCCAUGCUCUGCCUAUUGCCACCCCAACAGAGCAUGGCCAUGGCCGUAAUAAAGAGGAGGCUGAGUGUGGGACGUUAAGAAGAGAGAGGGCCUGAGGUGGUACUUGUGUGUCUCUUUAGAGCCCAUGAACUAGUUAUCCAGAAGAUCUUUAUGCAGCCAAACAACAACAACAUGGAAAUCAGAGGUCCCAGAGGACGUCCCAAGGGGGCAGAGAGGAGCAAAGCAGGAAACCAGCGGAAAACCUACCACGGGGCCAUCUAGGCAUGGGGCACGGUGCCCUGAUGCUGGGGUGAGUGAAGUAAACCAAGACAUGGACAGAGGAUGGCAGGGGGCUACCAGGACCGCUGGCCUCAGGAGAACCAAGGUGGGACUAAGUCACCCAGAAAGGACAUGGGGCCUGCAGAUAGACUGGGUGUGUACCGACUGCCGCAGACACAAAGAGGAAGCUACGGUGGUGGUCCACCGUAGCAAUGGAGGAACCACGGAGAGCUCCAGGACAUGGAUGUACGUGGGAACUAAGCCUUCUUCCCACUGCUGUCACAAGGCCACUGGGGCUACCAAGGAUGCCUAGAUGCCAUCUGGAAAAAGAAUAGGAGGAAGGAGAAUAAAUAGACUGGGCAAGCAAGUGGGAUACUGCAAGGACUAUUUAGUUCAGAAGGAACUAAAAUGCCAUUAAGAGGUAAGUGGUGAGUUUAAGUCUUAUCUCCUCUCC
Molecule: long non-coding RNA, 1467 nt
Filed under: Pan troglodytes (chimpanzee)
Lineage: Eukaryota; Metazoa; Chordata; Mammalia; Primates; Hominidae
Description: lncRNA (ENSPTRG00000054305.1)
Source: RNAcentral